This 226-nucleotide unclassified non-coding RNA is filed under the name uncultured fungus. RNAcentral describes it as "sequence contains ITS1, 5.8S rRNA gene". The stretch from base 178 to 226 matches the Rfam family "5.8S ribosomal RNA", at positions 1 to 49 of the family's 154-position model. The record is from RNAcentral. Lineage: Eukaryota; Fungi.
UCUCCGUAGGUGAACCUGCGGAGGGAUCAUUACUGAGUGAGGGCUUCGGUCCGACCUCCAACCCUUUGUGAACCAAACUUUUUUCUUCGGGGGCGACCCUGCCGCUUCGGCGGUACGGCGCCCCCGGAGGCCAUUAAACACUGCAUCAUUGCGUCGGAGUUAAAGUAAAUUAAACCAAACUUUCAACAACGGAUCUCUUGGUUACAGCAUCGAUGAAGAACGCAGC